CCUACGGGGGGCAGCAGUAGGGAAUUUUCGGCAAUGGGGGAAACCCUGACCGAGCAAUGCCGCGUGCACGAUGAAGAUCUUCGGAUUGUAAAGUGCUGUUGUUAGGGAAGAAAAAACAGAAGAGGAAAUGCUUUUGUCUUGACGGUACCUAACGAGGAAGCCCCGGCUAACUAUGUGCAAGCAGCCGCGGUAAUACAUAGGGGGCAAGCGUUAUCCGGAAUUAUUGGGCGUAAAGCGUGAGUAGGCGGUUUAUUAAGUCUGAUGUGAAAUCUUAAAGCUUAACUUUAAAUGGUCAUUGGAAACUGGUAAACUUGAGUACAGUAGAGGAAAGUGGAAUUCCAAGUGGAGCGGUGGAAUGCGUAGAGAUUUGGAGGAACACCAGUGGCGAAGGCGGCUUUCUGGGCUGGUACUGACGCUGAGGCACGAAAGCGUGGGGAGCAAACAGGAUUAGAUACCCCGGUAGUC
RNAcentral lists this ribosomal RNA (465 nucleotides) under uncultured bacterium. RNAcentral describes it as "bacterial SSU rRNA". It matches the Rfam family "Bacterial small subunit ribosomal RNA", at positions 338 to 795 of the family's 1533-position model. The record is from RNAcentral.